UCUAAGUAUAAGCAAUUAUACAGCGAAACUGCGAAUGGCUCAUUAAAUCAGUUAUCGUUUAUUUGAUAGUACCUUACUACAUGGAUAACCGUGGUAAUUCUAGAGCUAAUACAUGCUGAAAACCCCGACUUCGGAAGGGGUGUAUUUAUUAGAUUAAAAACCAAUGCCCUCCGGGGCUUACUGGUGAUUCAUGAUAACUUCUCGAAUCGCACGGCCUUGCGCCGGCGAUGGUUCAUUCAAAUUUCUGCCCUAUCAACUUUCGACGGCUGGGUCUUGGCCAGCCGUGGUGACAACGGGUAACGGAGGGUUAGGGCUCGACCCCGGAGAAAACGCCUGAGAAACGGCGUUUACAUCCAAGGAAGGCAGCAGGCGCGCAAAUUACCCAAUGCCGACACGGCGAGGUAGUGACGAGAAAUACUGAUACAGGGCUCUUUUGGGUCUUGUAAUUGGAAUGAGUACAAUUUAAAUCCCUUAACGAGGAACAAUUGGAGGGCAAGUCUGGUGCCAGCAGCCGCGGUAAUUCCAGCUCCAAUAGCGUAUAUUAAAGUUGUUGCAGUUAAAAAGCUCGUAGUUGAACCUUGGGCCUGGCUGGCCGGUCCGCCUCACCGCGUGCACUGGUCCGGCCGGGCCUUUCCCUCUGGGGAACCCCAUGCCCUUCACUGGGCGUGGCGGGGAACCAGGACUUUUACUUUGAAAAAAUUAGAGUGUUCAAAGCAGGCCUAUGCUCGAAUACAUUAGCAUGGAAUAAUAGAAUAGGACGUGCGGUUCUAUUUUGUUGGUUUCUAGGACCGCCGUAAUGAUUAAUAGGGACAGUCGGGGGCGUCAGUAUUCAAUUGUCAGAGGUGAAAUUCUUGGAUUUAUUGAAGACUAACUACUGCGAAAGCAUUCGCCAAGGAUGUUUUCAUUAAUCAGGAACG
RNAcentral lists this ribosomal RNA (917 nucleotides) under Pseudophialophora panicorum. Its description in RNAcentral is "SSU rRNA". It matches the Rfam family "Eukaryotic small subunit ribosomal RNA", at positions 58 to 985 of the family's 1831-position model. Lineage: Eukaryota; Fungi; Ascomycota; Sordariomycetes; Magnaporthales; Magnaporthaceae. The record is from RNAcentral.